This 504-nucleotide ribosomal RNA is filed under the name uncultured bacterium. RNAcentral describes it as "bacterial SSU rRNA". It matches the Rfam family "Bacterial small subunit ribosomal RNA", at positions 28 to 578 of the family's 1533-position model. The record is from RNAcentral.
AACGAACGCUGGCGGCAGGCCUAAUACAUGCAAGUCGAACGAAGCCUUCGGGCUUAGUGGCGCACGGGUGCGUAACGCGUGGGAACGUACCCCUGGGUGCGGAACAACGUCGGGAAACUGACGCUAAUACCGCAUAAUGACUCCGGUCCAAAGAUUUAUCGCCCAGGGAUCGGCCCGCGUUAGAUUAGCUAGUUGGUGGGGUAAUGGCCUACCAAGGCUACGAUCUAUAGCUGGUCUGAGAGGAUGAUCAGCCACACUGGGUCUGAGACACGGCCCAAACUCCUACGGGAGGCAGCAGUGGCGAAUAUUGGACAAUGGGCGCAAGCCUGAUCCAGCCAUGCCGCGUGAGUGAUGAAGGUCUUAGGAUUGUAAAGCUCUUUCACCGGAGAAGAUAAUGACGGUAUCCGGAGAAGAAGCCCCGGCUAACUUCGUGCCAGCAGCCGCGGUAAUACGAAGGGGGCUAGCGUUGUUCGGAAUUACUGGGCGUAAAGCGCACGUAGGCGG